GACUGCGUAGCUCAGCUGGCAGAGCAUUGGGCUAGUAUUCCAAAGGUCGUAGGUUCGAUUCCCACCGUGGCCA
RNAcentral lists this transfer RNA (73 nucleotides) under Paramuricea clavata. It matches the Rfam family "tRNA". From Rfam's summary of the family: Transfer RNA (tRNA) molecules are approximately 80 nucleotides in length. Their secondary structure includes four short double-helical elements and three loops (D, anti-codon, and T loops). The record is from Rfam by way of RNAcentral. Lineage: Eukaryota; Metazoa; Cnidaria; Anthozoa; Malacalcyonacea; Plexauridae.